GGGCCUGUAGCUCAGUUGGUUAGAGCAUUCCUCUGAUAAGGGAAAGGUCACUGGUUCGAGCCCAGUCAGGCCCACUA
This 77-nucleotide transfer RNA is filed under the name Chloroflexota bacterium. Its description in RNAcentral is "Chloroflexi bacterium tRNA-Ile". It matches the Rfam family "tRNA". Rfam says of the family: Transfer RNA (tRNA) molecules are approximately 80 nucleotides in length. Their secondary structure includes four short double-helical elements and three loops (D, anti-codon, and T loops). Lineage: Bacteria; Bacillati; Chloroflexota. The record is from RNAcentral.